CCCGGGCUCAACCUGGGAACUGCAUUCGAAACUGGCAGGCUAGAGUCUUGUAGAGGGGGGUAGAAUUCCAGGUGUAGCGGUGAAAUGCGUAGAGAUCUGGAGGAAUACCGGUGGCGAAGGCGGCCCCCUGGACAAAGACUGACGCUCAGGUGCGAAAGCGUGGGGAGCAAACAGGAUUAGAUACCCUGGUAGUCCACGCCGUAAACGAUGUCGAUUUGGAGGUUGUGCCCUUGAGGCGUGGCUUCCGGAGCUAACGCGUUAAAUCGACCGCCUGGGGAGUACGGCCGCAAGGUUAAAACUCAAAUGAAUUGACGGGGGCCCGCACAAGCGGUGGAGCAUGUGGUUUAAUUCGAUGCAACGCGAAGAACCUUACCUGGUCUUGACAUCCACAGAACUUUCCAGAGAUGGAUUGGUGCCUUCGGGAACUGUGAGACAGGUGCUGCAUGGCUGUCGUCAGCUCGUGUUGUGAAAUGUUGGGUUAAGUCCCGCAACGAGCGCAACCCUUAUCCUUUGUUGCCAGCGGUU
This 525-nucleotide ribosomal RNA is filed under the name Klebsiella pneumoniae. Its description in RNAcentral is "bacterial SSU rRNA". It matches the Rfam family "Bacterial small subunit ribosomal RNA", at positions 602 to 1126 of the family's 1533-position model. Lineage: Bacteria; Pseudomonadati; Pseudomonadota; Gammaproteobacteria; Enterobacterales; Enterobacteriaceae. The record is from RNAcentral.